UUAGUGUCCUGUCUGACUAUCCUGGUUUGAAAGGUGUAUUAGUGUCCUGUCUGACUAUCCUGGUUUGAAAGGUGUAUUAGUGUCCUGUCUGACUAUCCUGGUUUGAAAGGUGUAUUAGUGUCCUGUCUGACUAUCCUGGUUUGAAAGGUGUAUUAGUGUCCUGUCUGACUAUCCUGGUUUGAAAGGUGUAUUAGUGUCCUGUCUGACUAUCCUGGUUUGAAAGGUGUGUUAGUGUCCUGUCUGACUAUCCUGGUUUGAAAGGUGUAUUAGUGUCCUGUCUGACUAUCCUGGUUUGAAAGGUGUGUUAGUGUCCUGUCUGACUAUCCUGGUUUGAAAGGUGUAUUAGUGUCCUGUCUGACUAUCCUGGUUUGAAAGGUGUGUUAGUGUCCUGUCUGACUAUCCUGGUUUGAAAGGUGUAUUAGUGUCCUGUCUGACUAUCCUGGUUUGAAAGGUGUAUUAGUGUCCUGUCUGACUAUCCUGGUUUGAAAGGUGUAUUAGUGUCCUGUCUGACUAUCCUGGUUUGAAAGGUGUAUUAGUGUCCUGUCUGACUAUCCUGGUUUGAAAGGUGUAUUAGUGUCCUGUCUGACUAUCCUGGUUUGAAAGGUGUAUUAGUGUCCUGUCUGACUAUCCUGGUUUGAAAGGUGUAUUAGUGUCCUGUCUGACUAUCCUGGUUUGAAAGGUGUAUUAGUGUCCUGUCUGACUAUCCUGGUUUGAAAGGUGUAUUAGUGUCCUGUCUGACUAUCCUGGUUUGAAAGGUGUGUUAGUGUCCUGUCUGACUAUCCUGGUUUGAAAGGUGUAUUAGUGUCCUGUCUGACUAUCCUGGUUUGAAAGGUGUAUUAGUGUCCUGUCUGACUAUCCUGGUUUGAAAGGUGUGUUAGUGUCCUGUCUGACUAUCCUGGUUUGAAAGGUGUAUUAGUGUCCUGUCUGACUAUCCUGGUUUGAAAGGUGUAUUAGUGUCCUGUCUGACUAUCCUGGUUUGAAAGGUGUAUUAGUGUCCUGUCUGACUAUCCUGGUUUGAAAGGUGUAUUAGUGUCCUGUCUGACUAUCCUGGUUUGAAAGGUGUAUUAGUGUCCUGUCUGACUAUCCUGGUUUGAAAGGUGUAUUAGUGUCCUGUCUGACUAUCCUGGUUUGAAAGGUGUAUUAGUGUCCUGUCUGACUAUCCUGGUU
Oncorhynchus keta (chum salmon) is the source of this 1167-nucleotide long non-coding RNA. RefSeq lists it as uncharacterized. NCBI's taxonomy places the organism in Eukaryota, Metazoa, Chordata, Actinopteri, Salmoniformes, Salmonidae. The transcript has 3 exons. The record is from RefSeq and is a predicted model, not a curated record.